Molecule: ribosomal RNA, 301 nt
Filed under: uncultured bacterium
Lineage: Bacteria
Description: partial 16S ribosomal RNA
Rfam family: Bacterial small subunit ribosomal RNA
Source: RNAcentral
CAGUAGCCGCGGGAAUACGUAGGGUGCAAGCGUUACUCGGAAUUACUGGGCGUAAAGCGUGCGUAGGUGGUGGUUUAAGUCCGUUGUGAAAGCCCUGGGCUCAACCUGGGAAUUGCAGUGGAUACUGGGUCACUAGAGUGUGGUAGAGGAUAGUGGAAUUUCCGGUGUAGCAGUGAAAUGCGUAGAGAUCGGAAGGAACAUCUGUGGCGAAGGCGACUAUCUGGGCCAACACUGACACUGAGGCACGAAAGCGUGGGGAGCAAACAGGAUUAGAUACCCGCGUAGUCCCUGUCUCUUAUAC